Molecule: ribosomal RNA, 450 nt
Filed under: uncultured bacterium
Lineage: Bacteria
Description: bacterial SSU rRNA
Rfam family: Bacterial small subunit ribosomal RNA
Source: RNAcentral
GUGGGGAAUAUUGGACAAUGGGCGAAAGCCUGAUCCAGCCAUGCCGCGUGUGUGAAGAAGGUCUUCGGAUUGUAAAGCACUUUAAGUUGGGAGGAAGGGCAGUAAGUUAAUACCUUGCUGUUUUGACGUUACCGACAGAAUAAGCACCGGCUAACUUCGUGCCAGCAGCCGCGGUAAUACGAAGGGUGCAAGCGUUAAUCGGAAUUACUGGGCGUAAAGCGCGCGUAGGUGGUUUUGUAAGUUGGAGGUGAAAUCCCCGGGCUCAACCUGGGAACUGCCUCCAAAACUGCAUGACUAGAGUACGGUAGAGGGUAGUGGAAUUGCCUGUGUAGCGGUGAAAUGCGUAGAUAUAGGAAGGAACACCAGUGGCGAAGGCGACUACCUGGACUGAUACUGACACUGAGGUGCGAAAGCGUGGGGAGCAAACAGGAUUAGAUACCCCAGUAGUCC